AGAGUUUGAUCAUGGCUCAGAUUGAACGCUGGCGGUAUGCUUAACACAUGCAAGUCGAACGGUAACAGGAAAAGCUUGCUUUUCGCUGACGAGUGGCGGACGGGUGCGUAAUGCGUAGGAAUCUCCCUAGUAGUGGGGGACAACUCGGAGAAAUUCGAGCUAAUACCGCAUAAGCCCUACGGGGGAAAACGGGGGAUCUUCUGACCUCGUGCUAUUAGAUGAGCCUACGUUAGAUUAGCUUGUUGGUGAGGUAAAAGCUCACCAAGGCGACGAUCUAUAGCUGGUCUGAGAGGAUGAUCAGCCACACUGGGACUGAGACACGGCCCAGACUCCUACGGGAGGCAGCAGUGGGGAAUAUUGGACAAUGGGCGAAAGCCUGAUCCAGCAAUACCGCGUGUGUGAAGAAGGCCUGAGGGUUGUAAAGCACUUUCAAUUGGGAGGAAUACCUAAUGGUUAAUAGCUAUUAGAUUGAC
RNAcentral lists this ribosomal RNA (473 nucleotides) under uncultured bacterium. RNAcentral's name for it is "bacterial SSU rRNA". It matches the Rfam family "Bacterial small subunit ribosomal RNA", at positions 8 to 473 of the family's 1533-position model. The record is from RNAcentral.